UUUCCAAUUACUCAUCGAUAAGUUAACACCCACUCUCUUCUUGUCCAUUUAAAAACUACAUAAAUGAGAAGUGGGUCAUUCGUUCAUUACCUCU
Non-coding RNA from Caenorhabditis elegans, 94 nucleotides. Lineage: Eukaryota; Metazoa; Nematoda; Chromadorea; Rhabditida; Rhabditidae. The record is from Ensembl.